Molecule: ribosomal RNA, 447 nt
Filed under: uncultured bacterium
Lineage: Bacteria
Description: bacterial SSU rRNA
Rfam family: Bacterial small subunit ribosomal RNA
Source: RNAcentral
UCGGGAAUUUUGGGCAAUGGGCGAAAGCCUGACCCAGCAACGCCGCGUGAAGGAUGAAGUAUUUCGGUAUGUAAACUUCGUAAGAAUAGGAAGAAUAAAUGACGGUACUAUUUGUAAGGUCCGGCUAACUACGUGCCAGCAGCCGCGGUAAUACGUAGGGACCAAGCGUUGUUCGGAUUUACUGGGCGUAAAGGGCGCGUAGGCGGUUUGUCAAGUCAGUUGUGAAAUCUCCGAGCUUAACUCGGAACGGUCAACUGAUACUGUCAAACUAGAGUACAGAAGGGGCAAUCGGAAUUCUUGGUGUAGCGGUGAAAUGCGUAGAUAUCAAGAGGAACACCUGAGGCGAAGGCGGGUUGCUGGGCUGAUACUGACGCUGAAGCGCGAAAGCGUGGGGAGCAAACAGGAUUAGAUACCCUGGUAGUCCCUGAGCGGGCUGGCAAGGCGCAU